This is a non-coding RNA of Marasmius sp. AFHP31, 91 nucleotides long. Lineage: Eukaryota; Fungi; Basidiomycota; Agaricomycetes; Agaricales; Marasmiaceae. The record is from the annotation of a GenBank genome assembly.
AGCAGCAUGGCGCAGUGGUAGCGCGCGGGGCCCAUAUCAAGUAUUGGUCUUUGGUACCCCGAGGUCACUUGAUCGAAACAAGUUGCUGCUA